This 3134-nucleotide unclassified non-coding RNA is filed under the name Leishmania donovani. RNAcentral describes it as "gene:LdHU3.36.0090(CDS-product:PUF1_putative)". The record is from RNAcentral. Lineage: Eukaryota; Euglenozoa; Kinetoplastea; Trypanosomatida; Trypanosomatidae.
ACUCGAUUCCUCUCUCCCUGACACACACACACACACACAGAAAGAAGGGGAUUCGGCAAUCGCCAUUCCGCCAACAUGUCGUCAGAGGAGAAGUUGACAGCCCUCUACGCGCGCCGCCAGGAGAUUCUCAAGGACCUCUCUGAGGUGGAUACGAGCAUCAAGUUCCUCGAAAGUGAGAUCCAAACGAAGGCAACGGAGGCGGCGAAGCGCACCAUCGACGAAAACAAGUCAGGCAACGCGGACGUGGAUCGAGUGAACGAGGUGAUCGCCAGCUGCGUGCGGGAUGCCACGGGGCUUCGAGACGCACUCAAGUUGGUUGAGGCGUGCCGCUACGUACAGGAGUUUGGCAAGGAGGAUGACGCGGCGCGGCAAAAGAUCCCGUUCCGCAACGUGUUCGCGCAGGAGUGCAUUCGCCAUGCGCUGGACCUGUCCAAUGACGCCAACGGAAGCGAACUGAUGCAGCACCUGGUGCCGCUGCUGCGCUCGGGAACAAAGCCGGUCACCAUGGGCGACAUUUUCUACGACCCCACAACGAACGAGCACGACCUGUCGGAAGUGCUGCUGCUGAUUAGGGAGCUUUCCAGCGAUAUUGUCACGGUGGCGUGCAACACGAAUGGCGCGCGCGUCUCCCAGCGCAUCAUCGAUGUGCUGUGCACACAUGAGGAGUUCGAUGUGUACACGAGUGUGCUGGAGCCAUCGAUUGUCGACGUUGCGAAAGACAUUAACGGCAACCACUCCCUCUCAAAGCUGAUCACGUCUGCCCGCUUUUGCCAGCUGGGCGACUCCGACAAGAGUGCCUCCGGCGCUGCCGCGAUAUACGAGCGCAUCUUCCAGAAGAUAGCCGACAACUGCAUCGACAUUUGCAAAAACCGUCAGGGGUGCUGCAUCAUUCAAAAGUGCCUGCAACACGCCCCCAAACCGUAUCACACUACCAUCAUCAACACGGUACUCAACAACUCGCUGAAACUGGUGCAGGAUCCCUUUGGCAACUAUGUUGUUCAGUUCAUUCUCGACAAGCAGCAAGAUAUCAACGGCUCAAAGAAGGAGGACGCUGACGACGACGCCGUGCCGACGGCGCCGAACUACACCAAUCAAAUUAUUAGGCAGAUGCUCCAUCACGUGGCCGAGCUCUCGUGCAACAAGUUUAGCAGCAAUGUGAUUGAGAAGUGCCUGAAGACGUCGUCGCCAGAUGUGCGACAGCUGUUGGUCGACGAACUCACGGCGCCGCAUGUCUUGCCAAAGCUGCUGACAGAUAGCUUCGCGAAUUACGUUAUUCAGACGGCCAUCUCCACCGCCUCCGACGAUGGCCAACUGACGCAGCUGCGCGACGCUAUCAUACCUCUGCAGAGUCUCCUGAAAAACUCCCCGUAUGGCGUGAAGAUCGAGUCGAAGCUAUCCCGGCGCCACCGUGAAGCAGCGCGGCGUCUGCUGAAGAAAAAGGAGGCUGCCACGACCGUCACACAGGCUCCACCUGCACAACAAGAGCCGCUUCUUCCGCCCUACAUGCCCCCACAAGGAAUGUCAGCCAUUCCAAUGAUGGCGCCAGACGCUUCCAUGGGUCAGCAAGUGUCGUUCACCAACCUGAAUGCUGAUAUGGCCUCCUUCUUGCAGCCGCAGCGGAUGAUAGGCAUGCCUUUUGUGUUGCAAGGACAACAGAUGAUCAGCAUCCCCAAUGCACCACCGCCAUCUUUCACCAUGGGCAUGAUCAACGGUAGCGGCCUGCCUGAGUACCGCUAAGCGGUACGCAGUGCCCACCCCUGCCUUCUGUCGAUCCUUCUCGCACGCAAUAACACCGCUCCCCUCCGUGUGGCUCCUCUCCGUCUCCCAUGUGAAGACGAGGGCUUGCUUGCUCUUUUCCCAUUUUACCUUUGUCGCUUUUCCUUCACUCACGUCCAAGCUCGUUCCUUCUCUAGCCUGCUCCGUCCUCUCUCACUCUCUCUCUGUGGCUACCCUAUCCAAAAUGAAGAAAGACAUGACUGUUAUACGCGCUCGGUUUGAUUCGUUGUAUCUUAUUUCCUCUUUUCUUUCCCUUUCCUUUCAUUUUUUUUUCUGUAUUGCGUGUGCGCGUGAAACAAUCGCGCCCAUUGCAACCACCGACACACUGUCAGGCAUCUGAACGUGUGAAAGCUGUUGGCGGUCCUUUAGCGACCGUUUCAACGUCUAAGAGGGCUCCUCGAGGUGCCGAGGUGCUGCUACGGCGGGAACAAGAGACUCGAGGGCAUCAACGCUGUGCGCUACUCUUGUGGGAGUGUUGUAAACUCAGCUGAGUGGCUCUUGCAGCGCCAUCGCUCAGUAGGGAGUCCUUGAGCGCAUGCGCGUGUUUGUGGACUGCUCACGCGGCACAGAGUGUCGCUCGACGCUGCGUUGGGCGCGGAAAGGCCCCGUUUGCCAACUUCCUCGCUUGAGAGGUUAAGUCUCGGACGAAAACGAGAUGUCGACCCAGGCAACACAUCCACAAGACGCUGCUGUCCUCUCGCAGCCAACGCUUUAAGUAGGUGUUGCUGUGUCUUUGCUACAGUGGAUCCCAGCAAGCGUUCCACCCACUGAAAAGAGCAAGAAGACACCAGGGCGCGAUCACCACGGUUACCUCGAAAAAAAAAGUGCCACACGUUCCAUGAAGCAUAACAACUAGAGAAAACAUGAAUGACAGCACCACAGACAAAAAAAAAACUGGCGGGAUUGCAGAAGGAGUACACGGAUGAGGUGGAUGCCCUUACUCGUCUCGUCUUUUCCUUUUUCUUCGUUUCGUCAGCACAUGCCUGGGAGACACCGAGGAGAGCGGUGGGCUGAGGGGCGAUAGCUACAGAUCUUGUACGUGCUCAAGACGCACUCUUGAUCUCAGUGGUGUUCUUCUUUGUUUCCAUGUUUCCUCUGAGGAUGGUGACGCGUUCCUCUGUGCUUCAUUCUUACAGUUGAAGAAAACGUUCAUUUUGUUUCUGUUGUUGGCUCUCUUUUCGCUUGUUUGUGCUCUCUCUUGUUUUUGUGCGGGACGGUGCGCAUGCGUGUUCCUGCGCAUGGAUGUGCGGGUGUGUGUCCUCGUCAUUCUUAAUUAACUCUCUAAGAAAAAAAGAAGACCCCAAAGCCACCUAUGCAAGCGAUGGAGAGCACAGAGAACAACAGCAGAAUACCAAACG